GGCUGUGCUAGUGGUCAAAGGCAGCACUUCUAAUGCUGAGGUCCCAGGUUUGAAUCCUGGUCUAGUCA
This 68-nucleotide transfer RNA is filed under the name Cronartium ribicola 11-2. Its description in RNAcentral is "tRNA-Arg (TCT) (tRNA-Arg-TCT-9-1)". It matches the Rfam family "tRNA". Rfam says of the family: Transfer RNA (tRNA) molecules are approximately 80 nucleotides in length. Their secondary structure includes four short double-helical elements and three loops (D, anti-codon, and T loops). Further hydrogen bonds mediate the characteristic L-shaped molecular structure. tRNAs have two regions of fundamental functional importance: the anti-codon, which is responsible for specific mRNA codon recognition, and the 3' end, to which the tRNAs corresponding amino acid is attached (by aminoacyl-tRNA synthetases). tRNAs cope with the degeneracy of the genetic code in two manners: having more than one tRNA (with a specific anti-codon) for a particular amino acid; and 'wobble' base-pairing, i.e. permitting non-standard base-pairing at the 3rd anti-codon position. The record is from RNAcentral. Lineage: Eukaryota; Fungi; Basidiomycota; Pucciniomycetes; Pucciniales; Coleosporiaceae.